Molecule: long non-coding RNA, 2416 nt
Organism: Patella vulgata (common limpet)
Lineage: Eukaryota; Metazoa; Mollusca; Gastropoda; Patellidae
Exons: 2
Source: RefSeq, a predicted model, not a curated record
UUCAGCUACCAAGACAGAAUAUUUGCGAUGUAACUGAACGAUGAAAACAAAUACAUCAACUCAAAUACGUCGCUAUUCCUGGCAGUUUAAGAGCGUCACGGUGGCUUAGUGAGCCCUUGUGUUGGCCGGGAUUUUCCGGCGUGGAUUCCCCUUAUCAGUGGUGUUGGUCGACAGAGGGCCUAGUAAAGACCGCUGUCUAGUCGAUCGGAUGGGACGAAAAACCGAGGUCCCACAUUGGUGUGCCGUUGCGCCGCUGUUUGGGCAAAAUUUCUGUCAUAGCACAGCGUAUGCUGCAUGCCCGUUUUCAUUAGCCCAUGCAGCCAGAGCAAAAAAGUGGGUGGACACGUAGUGACGGGUGUCUUGUACGAAGCAGGUUCUGCUGGUACUUUCUAGAAUACUUGAUAACACUUCUCGUAUUUAGGAUGAUCACGUAGCUAAUUUUCACUGUUCUAAAAUAUUACACUGCAACCAAAACUCAAAGCACAAUAAGCCAAGAAUAAUUAUUCUUCAUUCAUUUGUGACCCCACAUUUUAAAUGACUUACAGCCUUUAUUUGGCUAUGGAAAUCGAUAUACGUCUUGAUAAAAGUAAUGAAACCUCGAUCAACAAGUUAGACCGGAUUAAACAACAACAAAUUGAUCGUGUCUGCAGAUACAAGACUAUAAUAGAAACAGCAUAAAAAGCAAUACGAAAUUUGAAUAACACAAUUGACGUUUGAACUGAUAUCAUGGGUAACUGGUUUUCAACAUUGUCCUCAUACAUACCAUAUUUCCCUGGCAAGCAGGAGCAGGUGACCUUGACUCAACAUACUGAACUUGAACCGGAUGUUGAGAGAAUUGCACCCCCGACUGAAAUAGAAGUUGCUACGUCAUGUGAGCGAACGUUGUAUCAAGCUGAUGCGUGUGUCAAAGUCGAAGGUCAUAAGAAAUAUAUACCGUAUUAUAAAUUUACAUCUGAGGAUGUCCCCAGUGAAUAUCAGAAUGAUCGUUUAUUUAAGUAUAUUAUCAAUGUUGAAAACGAGUUGUCCGAAUUGCAGUUAAAGUAACGGAGCUAGACAUUUGGUACGGAACCGGGGUCGUUACCAAGUACAGGGGUCAACAGGUCAUUGCUGUCCCACGUUCGUUGCUUCCUUCCGAAACCAUGGCAACACAGACUGAUAUUGACUUUUUCUAUGAAACAUCAGAUUAUAAAGGCGUGUUCAAAAGUAAAGGAACAGGUCUCAUAGAUUUUCCUAAUAACCAGGAGUUGACCCUUAUGACAUUUGACCCAGCACCCGAGGUCAUUUGUAAGUCGUAUAUCCCUGACAUCGACAGGUUCAAGGUGGAGGUAACGGUGACUGACGAGGAUGAUAACUUACGGUCAGGAGAGGCGGAAGUUUUCACAGAAGAAGGGGAGUAUUACGUCAUGACUAAUCCAGAAUUAAUAGAUACGGACUUCCAGGCAGAAAAUUGUCAGAUUAAGUUCUGUAUAGAUGGCUCACUCCCACCGAGCGCAGGAACCGGUGUUUUCUACAUGGACGAGACAGACACUAUCAUAUCAUUUGACCCGGUUCCUGAGGUCAUUAAAAGAGAACUUACCAAACGUGAUGCAUUGUGGCAUAAUGGUGGUGAUGUUCCCGUACGUCCCUUUAUUAUAUCACAUCCGCAUGGAACGCAGAAAUCUAUUUCCAUAGGAACGGCAUUUUCGGAGAUUCAAAAAGAAAUGGUGGCAAGAAGUGAUUUAAAGGAUAUUAUAACACCCGGAUACGUCAGUGAUAUGGAGGAUAGUGAAUAUAUUAAGAAAAAUAUAUUAGUUCACACAGCUAGCACAUGUCCUGGGUCGUGCGGUGGACUUGUUAUAGCUGUGGGAGACGAUUCAAAAAUAAGGGGCGGUUACUCUCAAGCCUUUAUUCAUUUACAAGGACAUGAGUCAGAAUUGUUGAAACUACAGACUGGAUCUGAAAAUAUCAAUGUAUCCACGCUGAUAGGCUGGAUUUAAAUUGAAAGUAAUGUUAGUUUUAAUGUUAAUAUCUUUUAAUGACUACUUAUUUGCUAAAGCCAUGUGUAUUUAGACUUAGAGUGGAGGGGGCGUUGAGACAUGAAAUCAAUGCUACAAAAAAAUAAAUUGUGAAUCAUCUGUAGCUGCACCCAUUUUAAUACAAAAUUAGGUUUAUGCUGUAAUGAAUCUGGCGAAAGAGACUGGUAGACUGGAGUAAAUUCAGUAGUGAUUUGAACUUAAAGUCAGAUGUUAUUUACGUUUCGUUUUGUUUUGUGUGUUAAAUUCCGGAACUAAAAUAAACGCAACCAAAUUGCAAUUGAAAGGGAAAUAAACUUUUGUGAACUUGAAAAUCAACACAGACCCCUUAAUAACGAUUUUAUUUUUUACUUUUAAUAUUAUACUAUAACUUAUAAGAAUAUAUUUAUACGUCUCAAUCUAAA